AGUGAACGCUGGCGGUAGGCCUAACACAUGCAAGUCGAACGGCAGCACAGGAGAGCUUGCUCUCUGGGUGGCGAGUGGCGGACGGGUGGGGAAUACAUCGGAAUCUACUCUGUCGUGGGGGAUAACGUAGGGAAACUUACGCUAAUACCGCAUACGACCUACGGGUGAAAGCAGGGGACCUUCGGGCCUUGCGCGAUUGAAUGAGCCGAUGUCGGAUUAGCUAGUUAGCGGGGUAAAGGCCCACCAAGGCGACGAUCCGUAGCCGGUCUGAGAGGAUGAUCAGCCACACUGGAACUGAGACACGGUCCAGACUCCUACGGGAGGCAGCAGUGGGGAAUAUUGGACAAUGGGCGCAAGCCUGAUCCAGCCAUACCGCGUGGGUGAAGAAGGCCUUCGGGUUGUAAAGCCCUUUUGUUGGGAAAGAAAUCCAGCUGGCUAAUACCCGGUUGGGAUGACGGUACCCAAAGAAUAAGCACCGGCUAACUUCGUGCCAGCCGCCGCCGUAA
Molecule: ribosomal RNA, 506 nt
Filed under: uncultured bacterium
Lineage: Bacteria
Description: partial 16S ribosomal RNA
Rfam family: Bacterial small subunit ribosomal RNA
Source: RNAcentral